CAGUAGCCGCGGUAAAACGGAGGGUGCAAGCGUUAAUCGGAAUUACUGGGCGUAAAGCGCACGCAGGCGGUCUGACAAGUCAGAUGUGAAAUCCCCGGGCUUAACCUGCGAACUGCAUUUGAAACUGUCAGGCUGGAGUCUUGUAGAGGGGGGUGGAAUUCCAGGUGUAGCGGUGAAAUGCGUAGAGAUCUGGAGGAAUACCGGUGGCGAAGGCGGCCCCCUGGACAAAGACUGACGCUCAGGUGCGAAAGCGUGGGGAGCAAACAGGAUUAGAUACCCGAGUAGUCCCUGUCUCUUAUAC
Molecule: ribosomal RNA, 301 nt
Filed under: uncultured bacterium
Lineage: Bacteria
Description: partial 16S ribosomal RNA
Rfam family: Bacterial small subunit ribosomal RNA
Source: RNAcentral